RNAcentral lists this long non-coding RNA (814 nucleotides) under Citrus maxima (pomelo). Its description in RNAcentral is "long non-coding RNA (CMAX_LNC002062)". The record is from RNAcentral. Lineage: Eukaryota; Viridiplantae; Streptophyta; Magnoliopsida; Sapindales; Rutaceae.
GUUCAAAUCUUGCAUUGUGGCUUGAAUUUAGAAUUGCUGCAACACAAUUUAUUGUUCCCCUCUGUAGAUUUGAUUGAAGUCACUUCAAAGUUUGAUUCUGAUAGGCAUAGGCUCGACCUGGUUCAGCAUUGGGGAUUGAAACAUAAAACGGGUCAAAUAUCAGGACGAAGGAUUGAAAAUUAGAUGCCAAUAAGUCCAGGGUUGCAUGCAAUCCCAACAUUUUCUUACUAACCAUAUGAAUGCAGGGACCUAGCUUGUUUAACUGUAUAUAUGAUGCAUAUUGAUAUAAAUGUUUAUCAUAAUAUGAUUGCAUAUAUACAUGAUGGAGGUAGAGGUUGUGUAUUUAUCAAACAUCUUGACACAGUUGGAUAUGAGUAAGACUGCAGACUGUUCAUAGGAAUAUAAAAAGAGAACAUUCAUCAAAUAUGCUUCAUCUUGCACAUUCUUGGAUUGUGUUUCUAGAGUUCAUCUGACAGUCAUUUGGUGAUUGGUUCAAUUCUUUGACAGUUGACGGACAUGGCUAAAAGAGUACCCGAACAGUCAUAUACAGGCACAAUAUCCCAUUCACAUGCUUAUUGUAGCUGAAACUGAGAGUUGUUUGACCAGGCCACCUUAUCUUGAUCAUGAGUAUACUAACCAACAUAUUAGUUCCAAUUUUGUAAGGCAAGAGUGAAGGAACAACUGGAAUUUAAAGCGGAUAGUGACUGACUGGACAGCAACCUGAGGUGUAAAUGCUUUUUCGCUCAUCUGGUUGAGUUGAACAUAACAAUCCUUCAUUUUGACAUCACCUUGGAAGGAUGAAAUAUAGAGAAAU